Molecule: small RNA, 29 nt
Filed under: Bombyx mori (domestic silkworm)
Lineage: Eukaryota; Metazoa; Arthropoda; Insecta; Lepidoptera; Bombycidae
Description: ovarian small RNA-13563
Source: RNAcentral
CCAGAUAAUAUGGAUGAACUCUGCUCCGA